RNAcentral lists this unclassified non-coding RNA (164 nucleotides) under uncultured Cortinarius. Its description in RNAcentral is "sequence contains ITS1". Lineage: Eukaryota; Fungi; Basidiomycota; Agaricomycetes; Agaricales; Cortinariaceae. The record is from RNAcentral.
UUGAAAUAAACCUGAUGGGUUGUUGCUGGUUCUCUAGGGAGCAUGUGCACACUUGUCAUCUUUAUAUCUCCACCUGUGCACCUUUUGUAGACCUUACAGGUCUAUGUUGCCUAUUCAUUUACACCAAUGUAUGUUAAUAGAAUGUUGUGACUAUAAAAUCUAUA